This 253-nucleotide ribosomal RNA is filed under the name uncultured bacterium. RNAcentral's name for it is "partial 16S ribosomal RNA". It matches the Rfam family "Bacterial small subunit ribosomal RNA", at positions 524 to 776 of the family's 1533-position model. The record is from RNAcentral.
UACGGAGGGUGCAAGCGUUGUCCGGAUUUACUGGGCGUAAAGCGCACGUAGGCGGCUUUGUAAGUUAGAGGUGAAAGCCUGGAGCUCAACUCCAGAACUGCCUUUAAGACUGCAUCGCUCGAAUCCAGGAGAGGUGAGUGGAAUUCCGAGUGUAGAGGUGAAAUUCGUAGAUAUUCGGAAGAACACCAGUGGCGAAGGCGGCUCACUGGACUGGUAUUGACGCUGAGGUGCGAAAGCGUGGGGAGCAAACAGG